Phasianus colchicus (ring-necked pheasant) is the source of this 2010-nucleotide long non-coding RNA. RefSeq lists it as uncharacterized. The record is from RefSeq and is a predicted model, not a curated record. Lineage: Eukaryota; Metazoa; Chordata; Aves; Galliformes; Phasianidae.
ACCACCGAGGAGGGUAGAGAGGCCCAAGCGCCGUGCUGAGGGGAGGGGCGCCGCCAUUUUGAAGAGGGGCAAAGGCGGCGGGGAUGGGGCUGUUGGUAUGGAGGUGAGGGGAGGUUGGGGCAACCUGUCUGCUCGCAGCCUCCUGCUACCGCAGGGCUCAGCACAGCCCACGAGCGAUAUUGUUGGCGUGGAGGAGUGCUAUGGUCUGCGUGUCUGCCAAGAGCCGUGGGGCCAUUUCGUGUUACCUCACGGUUACCACCGGUACGAGCCGUAGUGGGUGAAGGUACCAGCAACGAGGCUGGAGAUGGCCAGCGUUUCCCAGUUCUUAAGGAAUAAAACGUCAGCAAGGCUGUUGUCAACGACAUUCACCCUCUUUGCCUUGUUAGCAGAGGCUACACUGCCCCAUUGUUGUGUGCUGAAGAUGAGUCACGCUGCAGAAAAGCCAGAUGUUCCUAUUUGACAGUGGUCAGUGCAUCUCCCUUGUGGCAGGUUGGUGGAGGAGCAGGAUCAGGAAUCAAUAAGGUGCAGAAGGAAAAAAAACCAUGACUGAAAAGAUAGAGAGAGGCAUGGCUGUGAGUGCUGCUGGGAUCCCACAGUCCUUUUGUGGAAAGGAACAAAGGAACAGAGGAAGAGUUCCAAGGGGCUGGGCAGCACACCUGUGUAAGAAACACCCAAGAAGCACAGUUCAUUAAGAAAGAAAAGGGCUGGGCUCAGCAGGCAGAACCGUGUGGCAUGGCUCACCUCCCUCCAUCAGAUACCUUGCUAAACCUGGUCUGUAAUUCACAACUCUCCAUUUUUCAAGAAAACCUCUUAUGCUUAGAAAUUAAAAACAAAAAGCGAGAUGUAAACCUGCUUUUUUUGUUGUUUUUUGUUUUAAUGAUUACUUGAAUCCCCAUCGUAGAUAUUUUUAUAUUCACAAAACCUCUAUAUGCAAGUACCUCCAGCAAAACUGUGGCUAUCAAGGGUGAGCUGGCUGCUGUCAGCUUGCUGUAGGGUUUCUCGUGGAAGGACAUUGUCCUUGCUACAUAUUCCCCAAAGGAGAGUGGCUGCUUUCUCUGUCCUGUGGGAGACACACGCUCUACUGAGGAUUGUGUUAAACUUGGUCUCAGCCCACUUUUACAGUCAUUUUUUGUAAGCAGCCACUUUCUUUCUAAUUUUGCUGCUGACUAUUGUUUGCCCAGCUGCCGUGGUCCAGCACGGCACAGUUCAAGAGCAAAGCAUUACACAUCAGGGUUCCUUCACACGAUGCCUCUACAGCAGGAGUGGAACAAGAUCAAGUACAGUAGACAUCCUAAGGGAUGAUGCAGAAUGAACACCUUUGUGUAGCUUGAAUUAAUCACCCUGAACAGCCAGGAGCCUGACAAAAGAUGGCUGGAAGUGCAUGGGGGUCAGACAAGUUUUGGAUGAGAAAGCCGAACUGAAUGAGCCUGAGGGGUGCAUGGAAAAAGGGUGGAGGAAAGAUGGGACAAAUAUCCCAGGGCUGCAAGCAGCAUGUGGAGAAAUGAAAAAUGAACAAUCCUGACAAGGGCAGGAAAGGGAAAAACUGAAGUUCUAUGACAAGGAAUGAGGCAAAGGUGGGAGUGAUUAAAAUCUUGAGGUAGUGAUAGGCAGGUGGAGAUCAGAACCAAAAGGGAGAAGGACAAAUGUUUGGCUCAAGGCAGUUGCCCAGAUUUGGUAAUUUUGGAGCACACUGACAGGGGUAUAACUUUCAGACACAGAGAAGGCAUCAGGGGUCUUGAAAAUUUCCGUGGUCAGAGAUUUUGCUGGGGAUGUGGGAUGGCAACCAAAGAUGGCAAAGAAAAAAAGGAGUGAAGGGAGAGCAGCAAAGAAGGCAGCAGGCAUUUGUAACUAACGCUGUCCUGAAAUGUCUGGCAGUUGUGUUAUUCCUUGGUUUUCUGUAUUUUGGAGCAUCUCUCUUAAGAAUAAAUGCUGAGGCAGAUGGGCUUGUUCACCUUGGAGAAGAGAAGCCUCUGGAGAGACCUCAUUGUGGCCUUCCAGUACUUACACAGA